This is a long non-coding RNA of Astyanax mexicanus (Mexican tetra), 1313 nucleotides long. RefSeq lists it as uncharacterized. The record is from RefSeq and is a predicted model, not a curated record. Lineage: Eukaryota; Metazoa; Chordata; Actinopteri; Characiformes; Acestrorhamphidae. The transcript is spliced from 4 exons.
AUUCUCCACAUGGGGAGCUACACUAUAUUACCAAAAGGACCAGCUUGCCUGUCUUGUGUUUGGUGAUGUGAGACUUGGAUGAAGCUGCACUACUGAUCUACUGUUCUUGAGCUAGUCUGAAUACCACAUGACGUUUGGAGGUGUGUAGUGAUGAACUCUGAAGCUACAUGAAGUUUGGAGGUGUGUAGUGAUAAACUCUGAAGCUACAUGACGUUUGAAGGUGUGUAGUGAUGAACUCUGAAGCUACAUAAAGUUUGAAGGUGUGUACUGAUGAACUCUGAAGCUACAUGAAGUUUGGAGGUGUGUAGUGAUGAACUCUGAAGCUACAUGAAGUUUGGAGGUGUGUAGUGAUGAACUCUGAAGCUACAUGAAGUUUGAAGGUGUGUACUGAUGAACUCUGAAGCUACAUGAAGUUUGGAGGUGUGUAGUGAUGAACUCUGAAGCUACAUGAAGUUUGGAGGUGUGUAGUGAUGAACUCUGAAGCUACAUGAAGUUUGGAGGUGUGUAGUGAUGAACUCUGAAGCUACAUGAAGUUUGGAGGUGUGUAGUGAUGAACUUUAAAGCUACAUGAAGUUUGGAGGUGUGUAGUGAUGAACUCUGAAGCUACAUGAAGUUUGAAGGUGUGUACUGAUGAACUCUGAAGCUACAUGAAGUUUGGAGGUGUGUAGUGAUGAACUCUGAAGCUACAUGAAGUUUGGAGGUGUGUACUGAUGAACUCUGAAGCUACAUGAAGUUUGGAGGUGUGUAGUGAUGAACUCUGAAGCUACAUGAAGUUUGGAGGUGUGUAGUGAUGAACUCUGAAGCUACAUGAAGUUUGGAGGUGUGUAGUGAUGAACUCUGAAGCUACAUGAAGUUUGGAGGUGUGUAGUGAUGAACUCUGAAGCUACAUGAAGUUUGGAGGUGUGUAGUGAUGAACUCUGAAGCUACAUGAUGUUUGGAGGUGUGUAGUGAUGAUGAACUCUGAAGCUACAUGAAGUUUGGAGGUGUGUAGUGAUGGACUCUGAAGCUACAUGAAGUUUGGAGGUGUGUAGUGAUUGGUGUAGUGACUCUGCUGAAAGUUGGUGAACUCUGUGCACUAUGCUCCUCAGCAUCCGCUGACCCCGCUCUGUUAUUUUACACUGACAGAGCACAGAGUCGCUGUCGUUCCCAGUCUCUUCCACUGUGUUAUAAUAUCACUGACAGUUGGCUGUGGAAUAUUUAGUAGUGAGGAAAUUUCACGACUGGACUUCCUAUCAUGGUACCUCACUGGAGUUCACUGAGCUCAUCUUGUCCGUGUGUCACUGUGAUAGAGAUUCAGAAAGAGUGAGACAGAA